UGGUAGUGCUGUGCCACAUGUAGUAUCUGGU
Molecule: non-coding RNA, 31 nt
Filed under: Rattus norvegicus (Norway rat)
Lineage: Eukaryota; Metazoa; Chordata; Mammalia; Rodentia; Muridae
Source: RNAcentral